CCUACGGGGCGCAGCAGUGGGGAAUAUUGCACAAUGGGGGAAACCCUGAUGCAGCGACGCCGCGUGAGUGAAGAAGUAAUUCGUUAUGUACAGCUCUAUCAGCAGGGAAGAAAAUGACGGUACCUGAGUAAGAAGCCCCGGCUAACUACGUGCCAGCAGCCGCGGUAAGACGUAGGGGGCAAGCGUUAUCCGGAGUUACUGGGUGUAAAGGGAGCGUAGACGGCAGUGCAAGUCUGGAGUGAAAGGCGGGGGCUCAACCCCCGGACUGCUCUGGAAACUGUACGGCUGGAGUGCAGGAGAGGUAAGUGGAAUUCCUAGUGUAGCGGUGAAAUGCGUAGAUAUUAGGAGGAACACCAGUGGCGAAGGCGGCUUACUGGACUGUAACUGACGUUGAGGCUCGAAAGCGUGGGGAGCAAACAGGAUUAGAUACCCUAGUAGUC
This 440-nucleotide ribosomal RNA is filed under the name uncultured bacterium. Its description in RNAcentral is "partial 16S ribosomal RNA". It matches the Rfam family "Bacterial small subunit ribosomal RNA", at positions 338 to 795 of the family's 1533-position model. The record is from RNAcentral.